RNAcentral lists this ribosomal RNA (286 nucleotides) under uncultured bacterium. RNAcentral's name for it is "partial 16S ribosomal RNA". It matches the Rfam family "Bacterial small subunit ribosomal RNA", at positions 335 to 611 of the family's 1533-position model. The record is from RNAcentral.
ACUCCUACGGGAGGCAGCAGUGGGAAUGAUUGGACAAUGGGGGAAACCCUAGAUCCAGCCAUGCCGCGUGUGUGAAAGAAGGGCCUUCGGGUUGUAAAAGCACUUUCAGUGGGGAGGAAAGGUUGAUGGUUAAUACCUAUCAGCUGUGACGUUACCCACAGAAGAAGCACCGGCUAACUCCGUGCCAGCAGCCGCGGUAAUACGGAGGGUGCAAGCGUUAAUCGGAAUUACUGGGCGUAAAGCGUGCGCAGGCGGUCUGUUAAGCGAGAUGUGAAAGCCCGGCUCA